RNAcentral lists this ribosomal RNA (729 nucleotides) under uncultured bacterium. RNAcentral describes it as "bacterial SSU rRNA". It matches the Rfam family "Bacterial small subunit ribosomal RNA", at positions 665 to 1395 of the family's 1533-position model. The record is from RNAcentral.
AAUUCCUAGUGUAGAGGUGAAAUUCGUAGAUAUUAGGAGGAACACCAGUGGCGAAGGCGACUUUCUGGACUGUAACUGACGCUGAGGCACGAAAGUGUGGGGAGCGAACAGGAUUAGAUACCCUGGUAGUCCACACCGUAAACGAUGAAUACUAGGUGUCGGGGGUCGAACCUCGGUGCCGCAGCUAACGCAUUAAGUAUUCCGCCUGGGGAGUACGCACGCAAGCGUGAAACUCAAAGGAAUUGACGGGGACCCGCACAAGUAGCGGAGCAUGUGGUUUAAUUCGAAGCAACGCGAAGAACCUUACCAAGUCUUGACAUCCUUAUGCAAAUCUCUUAGCCGAGAUGUUCUCUUCGGAGACAUAAGUGACAGGUGGUGCAUGGUUGUCGUCAGCUCGUGUCGUGAGAUGUUGGGUUAAGUCCCGCAACGAGCGCAACCCUUAUGUUUAGUUGCCAUCAGUUAGGCUGGGCACUCUAGACAGACUGCCGUGGACAACACGGAGGAAGGUGGGGAUGACGUCAAAUCAUCAUGCCCCUUAUGAUUUGGGCUACACACGUGCUACAAUGGUCGGUACAACGGGCAGCGUAGGAGUGAUCUGGAGCGAAUCCUAAAAAGCCGAUCUCAGUUCGGAUUGUAGGCUGCAACUCGCCUACAUGAAGUUGGAGUUACUAGUAAUCGUGGAUCAGAAUGCCGCGGUGAAUGCGUUCCCGGGCCUUGUACACACCGCCC